Molecule: long non-coding RNA, 390 nt
Filed under: Brassica rapa (field mustard)
Lineage: Eukaryota; Viridiplantae; Streptophyta; Magnoliopsida; Brassicales; Brassicaceae
Description: long non-coding RNA (BRAP_LNC005842)
Source: RNAcentral
GUUUUUGUUAAAGCGUUCGACACUAUGGUAGGAUCAAGAUUAACGACGAGAAAUGAGAAUCCUCAAUGGACGGUUGAGAAGAUGCCACGUGCUAGAGUCAUGGCAGACAUGACGCUUUCAUCUAACGGAGAUGUGUUGCUUAUCAACAGUGGUAUUGACUAAAUUUUCUAUUGCGAUUAUUAAUGAAGUUGUGUUUCAUUUUUAUUAUGUCCGAAAAAAUAUUUUAAUCUGUUUAUUUUAGUAUAAGUUAUCUAAUUUCAUUUCUAUUGUUUUUUUUUGUUAUCAGGUUAUUUUACAUUUGUUGGGCUAUGCAAGUAUUUUUUUUUUCAUAUCAGUAUUAAAAUUAUAGUUGAGUUUUUAUUUUAGUAUUAAAAAAUUAUAUUAAAUUAA